This 1362-nucleotide ribosomal RNA is filed under the name Phormidesmis sp. LD30 5700 TP. Its description in RNAcentral is "bacterial SSU rRNA". It matches the Rfam family "Bacterial small subunit ribosomal RNA". Lineage: Bacteria; Bacillati; Cyanobacteriota; Cyanophyceae; Leptolyngbyales; Leptolyngbyaceae. The record is from RNAcentral.
GGGACAACAGCUGGAAACGGCUGCUAAAACCCGAUGUGCCCUUCGGGGUGAAAUAUUUAUAGCCUGAAGAUGAGCUCGCGUCUGAUUAGCUAGUAGGUGCGGUAAUGGCGUACCUAGGCGACGAUCAGUAACUGGUCUGAGAGGAUGACCAGUCACACUGGGACUGARACACGGCCCAGACUCCUACGGGAGGCAGCAGUGGGGAAUUUUCCGCAAUGGGCGCAAGCCUGACGGAGCAAUACCGCGUGAGGGAGGAAGGCUCUUGGGUCGUAAACCUCUUUUAUCAGGGAAGAACGAAAUGACGGUACCUGAUGAAUCAGCAUCGGCUAACUCCGUGCCAGCAGCCGCGGUAAUACGGAGGAUGCAAGCGUUAUCCGGAAUUAUUGGGCGUAAAGCGUCCGCAGGUGGUUUUGAAAGUUUGCUGUCAAAGCGCGAGGCUCAACUUCGUAACGGCGGUGAAAACUUCAAGACUAGAGCUAGGUAGGGGUCACGGGAAUUCCCAGUGUAGCGGUGAAAUGCGUAGAUAUUGGGAAGAACACCAGCGGCGAAAGCGCGUGACUGGGCCUGAGCUGACACUCAUGGACGAAAGCUAGGGGAGCGAAAGGGAUUAGAUACCCCUGUAGUCCUAGCCGUAAACGAUGACAACUAGGUGUUGCCCGUAUCGACCCGGGCAGUGCCGUAGCCAACGCGUUAAGUUGUCCGCCUGGGGAGUACGCACGCAAGUGUGAAACUCAAAGGAAUUGACGGGGGCCCGCACAAGCGGUGGAGUAUGUGGUUUAAUUCGAUGCAACGCGAAGAACCUUACCAAGGCUUGACAUGUCGCGAACCUUCUUGAAAGGGAAGGGUGCCUUCGGGAGCGCGAACACAGGUGGUGCAUGGCUGUCGUCAGCUCGUGUCGUGAGAUGUUGGGUUAAGUCCCGCAACGAGCGCAACCCUCGUUUCUAGUUGCCAUCAUUCAGUUGGGCACUUUAGAGAGACUGCCGGUGACAAACCGGAGGAAGGUGGGGAUGACGUCAAGUCAGCAUGCCCCUUACGCCUUGGGCUACACACGUACUACAAUGCUACGGACAAAGAGCCGCAAGUUCGCGAGGACAAGCAAAUCUCAUAAACCGUGGCUCAGUUCAGAUUGCAGGCUGCAACUCGCCUGCAUGAAGGCGGAAUCGCUAGUAAUCCCAGGUCAGCAUACUGGGGUGAAUACGUUCCCGGGCCUUGUACACACCGCCCGUCACACCAUGGGAGUUGGCCACGCCCGAAGUCGUUACUCCAACCGUUCGCGGAGGAGGAUGCCGAAGGCAGGGCUGAUGACUGGGGUGAAGUCGUAACAAGGUAGCCGUACCGGAAGGUGUGGCUGGAUCACCUCCU